AGGACAUGGGCGGGGACAAAUAAGGGAAUAAAAGCUGGCCGCCCGGAAACCCGCAGCUGCAAUCGGCUCUGGUUCUUUUCGGUGCUGUGGAUGCUUUGUUUUUUCGCUCUUCACAGUAAAUCUUGCUGCUGUAUAUUCUUUGGGUCCAUGCCACCUUUCAGAUGUAACACUCACCCUGAAAGUCCGUGGCUUCAUUCUUGAAAUCAGCGAGACCACGAACCCACCGGAAGGAACCAACUCUGGACACAGUGGCAUUAUCUCGGCUCUCUGCAGCCUCUGCCUGUUGGGUUCAAAUGAUUCUCCUGCCUCAGCCUCCCAAGUAGCUGGGACUACAGGUGUGUGCUAGCACACCUGGCUAAGUUUUGUAUGUUUAGUAGAAACGGGUUUCACCAUAUUGGCCAGGCUGGUCUUGAACUCCAGACCUCGAGUGAUCCGCCGGCCUCAACACCCCAAAGUGCUGGGAUUACAGGCGUGAGCCACCACACCAGGCUGAGAUCUGACGGUUUUAUAAGGGGCUUUUCCCCCUUCUGCUUGGCACUUCUCCUUAGUGCCACCGUGUGAAGGAGGAUGUGUUUGCUUUUCCCUCCGCCAUGAUUGUAAGUUUCCUGAGGCCUCCCAGCCCUGCAGAACUGCUUAUCCAAAUCCCUUGGGCUCAUUGAAGGUUAUGGUGGGCGGGGUAAAGGGGGCCUUCCGGCUACUCUUUCCCCGGCUGAAGAAGAAAAGGCUAAGGGACCCCAUGAGAAGUAUGGCUACAAUUCCUACCUCAGUGAAAAAAUUUCACUGGACCGUUCCAUUCCGGAUUAUCGUCCCACCAAGUGUAAGGAGCUCAAGUACUCCAAGGACCUGCCCCAGAUAUCCAUCAUAUUCAUCUUCGUGAACGAGGCCCUGUCGGUGAUCCUGCGGUCCGUGCACAGUGCCGUCAAUCACACACCCACACACCUGCUGAAGGAAAUCAUUCUGGUGGAUGACAACAGCGACGAAGAGGAGCUGAAGGUCCCCCUGGAGGAGUAUGUCCACAAACGCUACCCCGGGCUGGUGAAGGUGGUGAGAAAUCAGAAGAGGGAAGGCCUGAUCCGCGCUCGCAUUGAGGGCUGGAAGGUGGCCACUGGGCAGGUCACUGGCUUCUUUGAUGCCCACGUGGAAUUCACCGCUGGCUGGGCUGAGCCAGUUCUAUCCCGCAUCCAGGAAAACCGGAAGCGUGUGAUCCUCCCCUCCAUUGACAACAUCAAACAGGACAACUUUGAGGUGCAGCGGUACGAGAACUCGGCCCACGGGUACAGCUGGGAGCUGUGGUGCAUGUACAUCAGCCCCCCAAAAGACUGGUGGGACGCCGGAGACCCUUCUCUCCCCAUCAGGACCCCAGCCAUGAUAGGCUGCUCGUUCGUGGUCAACAGGAAGUUCUUCGGUGAAAUUGGUCUUCUGGAUCCUGGCAUGGAUGUAUACGGAGGAGAAAAUAUUGAACUGGGAAUCAAGGUAUGGCUCUGUGGGGGCAGCAUGGAGGUCCUUCCUUGCUCACGGGUGGCCCACAUUGAGCGGAAGAAGAAGCCAUAUAAUAGCAACAUUGGCUUCUACACCAAGAGGAAUGCUCUUCGUGUUGCUGAGGUCUGGAUGGACGAUUACAAGUCUCAUGUGUACAUAGCGUGGAACCUGCCGCUGGAGAAUCCGGGAAUUGACAUCGGUGAUGUCUCCGAAAGAAGAGCAUUAAGGAAAAGUUUAAAGUGUAAGAAUUUCCAGUGGUACCUGGACCAUGUUUACCCAGAAAUGAGAAGAUACAAUAAUACCGUUGCUUACGGGGAGCUUCGCAACAACAAGGCAAAAGACGUCUGCUUGGACCAGGGGCCGCUGGAGAACCACACAGCAAUAUUGUAUCCGUGCCAUGGCUGGGGACCACAG
This 1893-nucleotide small RNA is filed under the name Pan troglodytes (chimpanzee). RNAcentral's name for it is "processed transcript". Lineage: Eukaryota; Metazoa; Chordata; Mammalia; Primates; Hominidae. The record is from RNAcentral.